This 301-nucleotide ribosomal RNA is filed under the name uncultured bacterium. Its description in RNAcentral is "partial 16S ribosomal RNA". It matches the Rfam family "Bacterial small subunit ribosomal RNA", at positions 509 to 807 of the family's 1533-position model. The record is from RNAcentral.
CAGCAGCCACGGUAAUACGAAGGGUGCAAGCGUUAAUCGGAAUUACUGGGCGUAAAGGGUGCGUAGGCGGUUGCUUAAGUCUGUUGUGAAAUCCCCGGGCUCAACCUGGGAAUGGCAAUGGAAACUGGACGGCUAGAGUGUGUCAGAGGGGGGUAGAAUUCCAGGUGUAGCGGUGAAAUGCGUAGAGAUCUGGAGGAAUACCGAUGGCGAAGGCAGCCAUCUGGCCUAAUACUGACGCUGAGGUACGAAAGCAUGGGGAGCAAACAGGAUUAGAUACCCCCGUAGUCCCUGUCUCUUAUAC